CCGACCACGCCUCACCAAGCCCUGUCCCGAGACGCCUGCCUGUGUGUCCUUGGCACACCCCAGACAUCAUGGCGGUCCUUGUUAAGUGCGGCUGGACCCAUCCAUAGGUUGUCACCUGUGAGGGGCGGGCGAGCAGCCCUCUUGGUGUUUGCAUUUUGCCACAAGGGACACUGAGAGUUGGGGAA
This is an unclassified non-coding RNA of Panthera tigris altaica (Amur tiger), 185 nucleotides long. The record is from Ensembl. NCBI's taxonomy places the organism in Eukaryota, Metazoa, Chordata, Mammalia, Carnivora, Felidae.